AUUCUUGAUACCCCACAAUUCUGUCUCUCCCACAUCCCUUCCCACCACUUGUAUUAUUGAUUUUUUGUCCCUUUUCUGCUCUCUAUUUACAGUGUUUUUCACUUUCUUCUUCUCCUUAGUUUCCCAGUUACAAUAAUUCAUUCUUGAAUAGCAGGUUUGAACAAAAUUUUUGAAUCUUUAUUUACUCUUUGUGGGAUUAGAUGUAACAGUUCAGUUCACAAGUAAUAUUAUUUACUUUGGAUCUAGGCUCGCACAGGGUUUUAAAACACGUCACUAAGUAAGACUUAUUUACUUGUAUAUUUGGUAUCUAUCCCUUGUUUUAUUGAUAUGGAAUUCGUCCCGGUUUGUCCCACCAUCGUUUAAGAUUGCACGCAGAGUGAUUCUGAUAUUAUAUGUUACUGUUCAACUAAUAUUGUACGCUUUAGACCUAGGCUUGCAGCGUUUUAAAACGUGUCACUAAGGUUUAAGGUUUGUUUAGUUAUAUAUCCAAUAUUUCUCAUGUUUUUGUCAAUUCCACGUGGUAUUCGCCUGGGGUGUGACAAUAUAAGAGGGUCAUAAACUAUUUUAUCAUUUAUAUUGCAGUUUACUCAAAUAAGUUCAGGGUAUGCUCUGUUCUUUUUGAGUUAUUGUCAAGAAUCAAGAUAUAUUUAAAGCUAUCACAUUAAUUUUAUGACCUUGCCUUUACUGAGUAAAAAAUUGCACGUUUUCUCCUGGAAAGUGAAAAAUAUAAGUAAUACUAACAUUGGUUUUUAUAUUUGGUGGCAGGUUUGAAAAAAUUUUCAUCUAACAAUGGGAAAUGAGUUUCCAUCAUUUUCAGCAGCAAAUGGUCCUCAAAAAAGUUCAAACUAUGAUGAAAUAUUCAUGCAGCAUAGUUUGCAGUUCUCUGAUAGUUCAAAAGGUAGAGGCUGUAAUUUCUCCAUUACAAUUUUUAUGCUUUUAUCAUUGUUAGAAUAUACUAUAAGCCAUGCGUAUUGUUAUAGUAUUUUUUAUGAACAAUUAUUUAUUUACUUGUUUAAAUUCAAUAAAGUUUUAUUUUAAAUAGAUCAUGUGUUGGUUUGUGCGUCCAUUGCUUACCAAUUAUUUAUUUACUUGUUUAAAUUCAAUAAAGUUUUAUUUUAAAUAAAUCAUGUAUUGGUUUGUCCGUCCAUUGCUUACAUAGUAGAUGAUUUAGUGUAUGGAGUUUAGCUUAUACAUGGAAGAUUAAAUCAUCGGUUCUUAUAAGACAUAAAAGUUAAUGUUCACAAUCUAAUGAUGGAAUUGGACAAAUCAUCGGAAUGAUUGUAGCACAAGAUUAAAUAUAAUUU
Molecule: long non-coding RNA, 1304 nt
Filed under: Nicotiana benthamiana
Lineage: Eukaryota; Viridiplantae; Streptophyta; Magnoliopsida; Solanales; Solanaceae
Description: long non-coding RNA (NBEN_LNC007775)
Source: RNAcentral